GACUUGGGCACCAUGAAAGCAGAGAGACCUGUGGAGCUCCCUCGUUAUGCCCCAACAAAAAGGAAAGAGGACAGGAAGGAUAUGUCUUGUUCUGACAUUUAUGCCAAUGAUCAUCUCUAUGGCAAUACUGACUGCGAUGACUCAAUAUACAACAAUGUGUAGCGUGUGGAAGAUCAGCUUCAGUCCAUGUUGUUAUAUGAGUCAAGAAAAAAGAAAAACCUUAAACAAUUUGAAAUAUUAAUUGUUUAUU
This is a long non-coding RNA of Pundamilia nyererei, 250 nucleotides long. RefSeq lists it as uncharacterized. The record is from RefSeq and is a predicted model, not a curated record. The transcript has 3 exons. Lineage: Eukaryota; Metazoa; Chordata; Actinopteri; Cichliformes; Cichlidae.